Long non-coding RNA from Sander lucioperca (pikeperch), 252 nucleotides. RefSeq lists it as uncharacterized. NCBI's taxonomy places the organism in Eukaryota, Metazoa, Chordata, Actinopteri, Perciformes, Percidae. The record is from RefSeq and is a predicted model, not a curated record. The transcript has 3 exons.
GUCACUUCCAACCAAAAGGAUGCACGUCUCUGCCUACUGGCUGGAAGACGAACUACAACUACAGCCAAAGAGCGCAAUAUGAAGAGCGCAGUCUUCUAAGAAUGCGUCUGUUUGAAUGCCAUGGACUGCUGCUCAAACAUAGCUUCAUUAACUACUGUCAGUCACUGCACAAGCUUGUUAAGCUGCCCUCAUGUGGCCAAAACAACAAUUAAUGUCGCUUUAAAUAAUGGAUGACGAUUAGAAGACAGAUCC